AGAUACAUCACAGACGUAUUCUCAUUUAAAGUCCCAAACACCUUCGGGUGGUCCCCCCCUUUUUUCUUAUAGUACCAGGGAUGGAAACAGUGAUCGGCAGCUGGCAGUGUUCCCCUGCCAGCCCUAUAUGGGGCUGUCCGUGCAAAGUGUGCCUAAUCUGUCCACACAAACGGCAUACUUUAAUUAUGGUUUAAUUUGCCAUUCAGUUGCUGAACACACCACUUAGCUGCUUGCAAACAUCACGCACUGUUUAGACCUUUUUUUUUUUUGUCUGCAUCCCGGGAUUGCGAUGCACUCACUGUGCUUCCCUUUCCCCCCCUUUGGGGGUAUGGGCGGUUACCGUCAGUGCAUCGGCGUUACGUGCCAUCCGAGUGAUGUCCUUAUUGGGCGUCGCCCUGUUGUAUGGCUAGUAUCCAUCACAGCUGAUCAAGUGGGUGUGUGCAGCAUCUCUUCAGUACAGGCAAUUGUGCUGUCUGAUUGAGGGCCCCGCCCCCACACUGGUCAGCUGACGUGACGUUGGGGGCAGUCUGGUGCAUUUGCUGGACGUAUUUAAGCACCUUCCCAGCUCUUCAGCCAGUGGCCAUUUUCUAUGCAGGCCUUACAGCUGUCACUAGCUGUGGCCAUCCUACUCGCAUUCCAGAUACCUACCUGUACUAUAAGGAUACACUACAAUUUUACUUUACCCAUGGUCGCUGUGCUGUCUGGGAGGGAUGCUUUAUGCGCUCUGCUGUUUGCCUGCUGGUCUGCCACCUCUGUCCCGGGACAGGCAUAUGUUUGGUCUUAACUGUAUUUACAUUACCACUUUGACAUACUAUAUAUCCCACUACAUCCGCCCCUGAUGAGUGUUUUUCAUAU
Molecule: long non-coding RNA, 855 nt
Organism: Rana temporaria (common frog)
Lineage: Eukaryota; Metazoa; Chordata; Amphibia; Anura; Ranidae
Exons: 3
Source: RefSeq, a predicted model, not a curated record